AUUGAACGCUGGCGGCAUGCCUUACACAUGCAAGUCGAACGGCAGCACGGGAGCAAUCCUGGUGGCGAGUGGCGAACGGGUGAGUAAUAUAUCGGAACGUGCCCGGUCGUGGGGAUAACGUAGCGAAAGACUACGCUAAUACCGCAUACGAUCUACGGAUGAAAGACGGGGGAGUCGCAAGACCUCGCGCGAUUGGAGCGGCCGAUAUCAGAUUAGGUAGUUGGUGAGGUAAAGGGACUCACCAAGCCGACGAUCUGUAGCUGGUCUGAGAGGACGACCAGCCA
Molecule: ribosomal RNA, 284 nt
Filed under: uncultured bacterium
Lineage: Bacteria
Description: partial 16S ribosomal RNA
Rfam family: Bacterial small subunit ribosomal RNA
Source: RNAcentral